This is a long non-coding RNA of Mycetomoellerius zeteki, 119 nucleotides long. RefSeq lists it as uncharacterized. The transcript has 3 exons. NCBI's taxonomy places the organism in Eukaryota, Metazoa, Arthropoda, Insecta, Hymenoptera, Formicidae. The record is from RefSeq and is a predicted model, not a curated record.
AUAAAAUGUGAAUAUAAUUUGUAAUUACCGAAAGACUCAAAGAAACUUGCACGAAUAGGAAUCGCUCGGCCACUAGUUACCCAUAUUAGUACGGUAAGGGUUAAUAUAGUAUUUGAUAA